This 1573-nucleotide ribosomal RNA is filed under the name Ophirina amphinema. Its description in RNAcentral is "small subunit ribosomal RNA". It matches the Rfam family "Bacterial small subunit ribosomal RNA". Lineage: Eukaryota; Jakobea; Jakobida; Ophirinidae. The record is from RNAcentral.
AAUAUUCAGAGUUUGAUCCUGGCUCAGGAUGAACGCUAGCGGUUAGCUUAACACAUGCAAGUUGGAUGUUAUUUCUUAUUGAAUUAUAGCAUAGCGAACGGGUGAGUAACACGCGAAUAAUUUACCUAACAGUUCGGGAUAACAUAAACAAUAUUAGUUUAUUGUUUAUGAAUACCGGAUAAUAAAUAGUUUGUUUACUAUUAUCUAAAGAUUGUAUCGCUGUUAGAUAAGUUUGCGUAAGAUUAGGUAGUUGGUAGAGUAAAAGUUUACCAAGCCAAUGAUCUUUAGCUGGUCUGGAAGGAUGAUCAGCCACACUGGGACUGAGAUACGGCCCAGACUCUUUCGAGAGUCAGCAGUGAGGAAUAUUGGACAAUGGGCGAAAGCCUGAUCCAGCUAAACCGCGUGAGUGAUGAAGGCUUUUUGGUCGUAAAGCUCUUUUUCCGAGAAAGAUUAUGACGUUACUUGGAAAAAAAGUCCCGGCUAACUCCGUGCCAGCAGCCGCGGUGAGACGGGGGGGACUAGUGUUAUCCGGAUUUAUUUGGCGUAAAGGGUUUUUAGGUUGCCUACUAAGUUGUAAGGUAAAGCUUAAGGAUAUUUAUCUUAUAUAGCCAUACAAAACUAGUAGUGCUAGAGUAAAGGAGAGGGUAGUGGAAUUCUUGGUGUAGGAAUAAAAUCCGUAAAUAUCAAGAGGAAUAUCGAAAGCGAAGGCAGCUACCUGGCUUUUUACUGACGCUGAAAGACGAAAGCGUGGGGAGCAAACAGGAUUAGAUACCCUGGUAGUCCACGCCGUAAACGAUGAGUGCUAGAUGUAAGAAAGUAGUUUAUUUUCUUGUGUCUAAGCUAACGCAAUAAGCACUCCGCCUGGGGAGUACAAUCGCAAGAUUGAAACUCAAAGGAAUUGACGGGGGCCCGCACAAGCGGUGGAGCAUGUGGUUUAAUUCGACACACCGCGAGAAACCUUACCAGCCCUUGACAUUCUAGUUGUAGAUGUGGAAGUAGUUUUCCAUGUUAUGCUAGAACAGGUGUCUGCAUGGCUGUCGUCAGCUCGUGUCGUGAGAUGUUUGGUUAAGUCCUUUAACGAGCGCAACCCUUAUCCUUAAUUGCAAGUAAUUGUAGUUCAAUUAUGCACUUUAGGGAGACUGCCGGUGAUAAGCUGGAGGAAGGUGAGGAUGACGUCAAGUCUUCAUGGCCCUUAUGGGCUGGGCUACACACGUGCUACAAUGGAGAUUACAAAGAGAGGCAACGGCGCGAGUCUAAGCAAAUCUCAAAAAAUCUUCUCAGUCCGGACUGUACUCUGUAACUCGAGUGCAUGAAGUUGGAAUCGCUAGUAAUCGUAUAUCAGAACGGUACGGUGAAUACGUUCCCGGGCCUUGUACACACCGCCCGUCACACCAUGAGAGUUUGCAUGUUUUGAAGAAGUGCCUUGCACUUUUUACCUUUUGAAUCUGAGGCUUUUUUAUAAAGUUUCUCAAAGUGGUAUUGGGGAUGAGGAAUUUCGAUAAAUUUGCCAGCGAUUAGGGUGAAGUCGUAACAAGGUAGCCGUAGGGGAACCUGUGGCUGGAUAACCUCCUUU